Molecule: ribosomal RNA, 253 nt
Filed under: uncultured bacterium
Lineage: Bacteria
Description: partial 16S ribosomal RNA
Rfam family: Bacterial small subunit ribosomal RNA
Source: RNAcentral
GACAGGGGGCUCAAGCGUUAAUCGGAAUCACUGGGCUUAAAGGGUGCGCAGGCGGUCCGUCAAGCAUUCUGUGAAAGCCCCCGGCUCAACCGGGGAACAGCAGAGUGGACUGGCGGACUUGAGGCAAGUAGGGGUGGACAGAACAGUGGGUGGAGCGGUGAAAUGCGUAGAUAUCCACUGGAAUGCCGAUGGUGAAGACGGUCCACUGGGCUUGUCCUGACGCUCAGGCACGAAAGCGUGGGGAGCAAACAGG